Molecule: ribosomal RNA, 460 nt
Filed under: uncultured bacterium
Lineage: Bacteria
Description: partial 16S ribosomal RNA
Rfam family: Bacterial small subunit ribosomal RNA
Source: RNAcentral
CCUACGGGAGGCAGCAGUGAGGAAUAUUGGUCAAUGGACUCAAGUCUGAACCAGCCAUGCCGCGUGCAGGAAGACGGCUCUAUGAGUUGUAAACUGCUUUUGUACGAGGGUAAACGCAGAUACGCGUAUCUGUCUGAAAGUAUCGUACGAAUAAGGAUCGGCUAACUCCGUGCCAGCAGCCGCGGUAAUACGGAGGAUUCAAGCGUUAUCCGGAUUUAUUGGGUUUAAAGGGUUCGUAGGCGGUCGGAUAAGUUAGAGGUGAAAUCCCGGGGCUCAACUUCGGAAUCGCCUCUGAUACUGUCCGGCUUGAGAGUAGUUGCGGUAGGCGGAAUGUAUGGUGUAGCGGUGAAAUGCUUAGAGAUCAUACAGAACACCGAUUGCGAAGGCAGCAUACCAAGCUACUUCUGACGUUGAGGCACGAAAGCGUGGGGAGCAAACAGGAUUAGAUACCCCUGUAGUC